Molecule: ribosomal RNA, 450 nt
Filed under: uncultured bacterium
Lineage: Bacteria
Description: bacterial SSU rRNA
Rfam family: Bacterial small subunit ribosomal RNA
Source: RNAcentral
GAUGAACGCUGGCGGCGUGCUUAACACAUGCAAGUCGAACGAAACACCUUAUUUGAUUUUCUUCGGAACUGAAGAUUUGGUGAUUGAGUGGCGGACGGGUGAGUAACGCGUGGGUAACCUACCCUGUACAGGGGGAUAACAGUCAGAAAUGACUGCUAAUACCGCAUAAGACCACAGCACCGCAUGGUGCAGGGGUAAAAACUCCGGUGGUACAGGAUGGACCCGCGUCUGAUUAGCUGGUUGGUGAGGUAACGGCUCACCAAGGCGACGAUCAGUAGCCGGCUUGAGAGAGUGAACGGCCACAUUGGGACUGAGACACGGCCCAAACUCCUACGGGAGGCAGCAGUGGGGAAUAUUGCACAAUGGGGGAAACCCUGAUGCAGCGACGCCGCGUGAGUGAAGAAGUAUCUCGGUAUGUAAAGCUCUAUCAGCAGGGAAGAAAAUGACGGU